GCCGUUGUAGCUCAGUGGUAGAGUACUUCCUUGGUAAGGAAGGGGUCACGAGUUCAACUCUCGUCAAUGGCUCAA
RNAcentral lists this transfer RNA (75 nucleotides) under Bacteroidetes bacterium HGW-Bacteroidetes-20. Its description in RNAcentral is "tRNA-Thr". It matches the Rfam family "tRNA". Rfam says of the family: Transfer RNA (tRNA) molecules are approximately 80 nucleotides in length. Their secondary structure includes four short double-helical elements and three loops (D, anti-codon, and T loops). Further hydrogen bonds mediate the characteristic L-shaped molecular structure. tRNAs have two regions of fundamental functional importance: the anti-codon, which is responsible for specific mRNA codon recognition, and the 3' end, to which the tRNAs corresponding amino acid is attached (by aminoacyl-tRNA synthetases). tRNAs cope with the degeneracy of the genetic code in two manners: having more than one tRNA (with a specific anti-codon) for a particular amino acid; and 'wobble' base-pairing, i.e. permitting non-standard base-pairing at the 3rd anti-codon position. Lineage: Bacteria; Pseudomonadati; Bacteroidota. The record is from RNAcentral.